RNAcentral lists this transfer RNA (88 nucleotides) under Streptomyces sp. PVA_94-07. Lineage: Bacteria; Bacillati; Actinomycetota; Actinomycetes; Kitasatosporales; Streptomycetaceae. The record is from RNAcentral.
UCCACCCGCGCAGCGAAAACCGGUGAAGACGCGUACAGCUCACGCCCCAUACCGAGCCACUGCGACCCCUGCCCCGGGAACACCAGGG